This 69-nucleotide transfer RNA is filed under the name Marmota monax (woodchuck). It matches the Rfam family "tRNA". Rfam says of the family: Transfer RNA (tRNA) molecules are approximately 80 nucleotides in length. Their secondary structure includes four short double-helical elements and three loops (D, anti-codon, and T loops). The record is from Rfam by way of RNAcentral. Lineage: Eukaryota; Metazoa; Chordata; Mammalia; Rodentia; Sciuridae.
GGAGUUGUGGCUCAGAGGUAGAGUGUUUGCCUUACAUGUGUAAGACACUGAGUUUGAUCCUCAGCACCA